RNAcentral lists this small nucleolar RNA (104 nucleotides) under Microcebus murinus (gray mouse lemur). RNAcentral's name for it is "Small nucleolar RNA U13 (ENSMICG00000047877.1)". It matches the Rfam family "Small nucleolar RNA U13". The record is from Rfam by way of RNAcentral. Lineage: Eukaryota; Metazoa; Chordata; Mammalia; Primates; Cheirogaleidae.
AUCCUUUUGUAGUUCACAAGCAUGAUGAUUGGGUUUUCACACAUAUGUGUGAAAUGUGCCUCCCUCAAUUCUUGUUACUACAUUGGCACAUUACUCAUCUGACA